This 501-nucleotide long non-coding RNA is filed under the name Sorghum bicolor (sorghum). RNAcentral's name for it is "long non-coding RNA (SBIC_LNC018270)". Lineage: Eukaryota; Viridiplantae; Streptophyta; Magnoliopsida; Poales; Poaceae. The record is from RNAcentral.
GAGGUGUUUCUUUGUAUUCCGAACUCGAUCUGUGGAUGCAGUUGAGUAGACGAAAGCAGACUCCUGCCCAAAUUCCUCUUAUUCCCGACGAAACCUGUGAUUCUGUCUGUGUACGUAUAAGGCAUGCAUAGCUUCUGCAGAUGUGCCGUCAAUAGAAGAGAUCAUGGGAGAAACAGCAUUUUGUUGUGAUCAUGUAUAUAAAUUUCUAUAAUGAUCUAAAGCACCAUUGAUGAGGCCAAGUUAAAGUUACCUGAUGCUUGGAAGACUGAAGACGUGGUCACAAAACAGAGGACUUGCAGGGUGUUGCUCUCCCAGUGCCAGAUUACUCCUCAGCUUUAGGGUAGCCGCUGAGAAGCCACUCUUGAGUUCUAAAUGUUUAUGGUGUCGUGGAUCGGGUAGUUUAGCGUAACCGUAUGACAUUGUAAUGUUGAUUCAUCAUUUUGUGCAUGAGAGAACAUAUACAAGUUUAUGAUGUCAUCUCAAAGAAAUUUUAAGAAGGCA